Molecule: long non-coding RNA, 1044 nt
Organism: Heterocephalus glaber (naked mole-rat)
Lineage: Eukaryota; Metazoa; Chordata; Mammalia; Rodentia; Bathyergidae
Source: RefSeq, a predicted model, not a curated record
UCCCGGAAGGAGAAGAAAGAAGAAAGAAGGGGGCGGGGCGGGGGAGGAGGAGUCGUCACAGCUCCCGGGGCAGGGGCGGCUCUUCUAGCGCGGGGAUGUGGCCACAGGAACCCAGGACCAGGACAAGGCGGGAAUUGACAGGAAGUAUUGGGAAUCAAACUCAAGACCUUGCACUUGCGAGGCAGGCAUGGCACUGAGCUAAAUCCCCGGCUUAACAUACAUUUUAAUGGGGCUCUUACUUCGGGGAACUGCUAUACUUUCUGGAAAAGAGUAGAUUUCAUCAGUAACUCAAGAACGCCCAUUUCCUGCGGCCCCACCCACCUCCGUCCUUGCCUUCACCAAGGCUUGGCUCGGCAUGGUGCUGCCACCUAGAGGUCCGCGUCGGACAUUACCUCCAGCCCUCUCCGCAGAGGCCACCCUUCCAGCUGGAGUUUGAAGUUCUCUUUUACAGCCCUGAGGAUUCAGAACUAAGGAUCAGAUCUUCCAGUGUGAGGACAGCCUGAGAAGAGCAAGACAGAAUGAAAUAGAGAAUGCCAGUGCGUGCUGCCACCGGCCAAGCCUGAAGAGGACUCUUCGUCUCUUCCCGCUCCCUUUCUCCUUCCUGCACCCUUUCUCCUCCGUAGAUUAGAGUCAGACAGACACACUCAUUUUGUAGACCCUGGAUGGCACAGCCUGGGAGAUAGUUACAGUGUAUCCUUCCCUGUUCUCUUCUUGUUCAUGCCCCAAUAACGAAACAAUCACGCUACGAUCUGCCCAGGCCACGGAGGCCAUGUAGCACCAUUUGCCCCACCUUCUCUUCCUGUUUACCUUCCACUAUAAAUAAAGUGUAUGGUUCCCCAGGCUGCCGUUAACUCCCGACAAGCUAUGGUUCCAUCUGGUCCCAGCUAAGAGUAAUCUUGGUCUUUGUCGACUUUUCUUCAUCUCCCACCACUCCCCCUGGCUUUGGACCCCACGCUGUGCGUGUCGCGGCAGCGUGCAUGUGUACGCAAAAAGCCCAGUACAAAAUGAAAGUGUGGGGCCACUUUUUCCAAAAUUAUUAUGAAU